Long non-coding RNA from Taeniopygia guttata (zebra finch), 2311 nucleotides. NCBI's taxonomy places the organism in Eukaryota, Metazoa, Chordata, Aves, Passeriformes, Estrildidae. The record is from Ensembl.
UCUGACAGUGGGAUAUGGCACACUACAUGGUCUGGACAAAUGUAGUGUUAUUUCUCCCAAGCACCAAUUUAAUCUCCAGAAAACUGCAGUUAGGAGAGUGCUGGAGCCAGAAACAAUGUCUUGAUAUUUCCAAAUCUUCAGAGGAAUUGUCCCAUUGCUUUUCUGAACUCAUGUCAACUUUUAGCAUGGGGAACAUUCUGCAAGCUGUGUAAUCCAAUAUUGCUUUUUAUCGCUGCUGAAUUGACCACCUGCUGAUUUCAUUUACUAUUCCUUAAUUUUUCUAUUGGAAGAGGGAAAAAAAAAGAACAAAGUCUUCCCUCUUUCUGCCUCUCUGUAUAUUUGCUCUCAGAAACGUCUUUUCUACCCUAAAGGAUCUUCCUUUGUAUCAUUGAUUGUGCUGAGGUUUCAGGACCUCCUUUGCACCUUCACAUGUAACUUUUCCAGCUAUACCCAGAAGCCUAUUAAGCAGAGAGAACCAGGAGUAUGUAUAAGAUUCUAGGUGGGUUUAAUUUGUUCUAGUCUUUCCACAAUAUAUCUAACACAUCACAUAUAUUUUUAGGAGAGUAAUGAGAAUUGAGCUAAUAUUUUCACCACACCAUCCAUCAGGGUGCUAAAAUCUGAUUCCUAACUGAAAGAAACAGCUCAGAAUCCAUUUUUUAAUAUGUACAGAUGGGAUUAUUUUUCUCUUAUGUUCAUUGCUUUGCAUUUAUCUACAAAAAGUUACAUCUGCCAUUUCUUUCACUCAAUGACUUCAGCUUAAAUAAUUUCUCUGCAUUUCUUUCUGGUUGCCCUUGGUCAUUAAUAUACUGACAUUCUUAGGACUGUCAACAAACCAUCUCCUGUCUAUUCAAUCCACUUUCAGAAUUAUUUUGACCAUGAUUAUCUUGAAGAUCAUAUGUUAAUCAGCACUGACUCAAAUGCAAGCUUCUCUCUCAUAACAACAUUCUCCACUUGAAAACUGAUCAUCCAUUCCCAUGUUCUUUCCAAUUUUUUAUCCGUGCCAUGGCAAGGACACGCAACUUAUAGAAAAUCAGUGGGCAUCCUCAUUCUUCAAGCUGCUUUAGUGAAGAUAAAUCUUCAAUAUUAAGGUAACCUGCAUUAUUGGGAAUGCCCAUAUCCAUUUGUUUUCCAGCUACUAAAAAAAAUUAAAACUGACAGAUCUGUGAGGCUUAACCGCCCUUAUCAGAAAGUAUGCUAUUUCUGCCUCCUUUUGAGCCCAUUUCUGCACUGGGUUCUGCUUUAGAGCUUUGUCAGUGGUUCUGGUCACAGGGUCAAUGGUUGAUGUGCACUGACAGAGGUUCAGUUUGCACCUGAAACCCCAGCUAAAGAGCCACAAAACCAGGAAACAGAAAAUACUGCAAGCACUUAAAGGGAAAAACCAAACAGGAAUUACAGUCUUCCAUACAUCCUACCAGGAAAAUAAAAAGUAAAUCAUUAAUGUUUUCUUUUAUUCUAUCGCUUUAACCAGCUCCAGUGUUGUGUACUAAACAUUCAUUAGCCAUGACAAAUCUUUGAUUUUUAGUAAUAGACCAAGACAGAAUAGCAGAAUGUUAAAAGAUCCAGUUGCCUUCCCUGUAGUAGUGGUGAUGACAUUUGCCCCUGUUUCCACAGAAACUGAGACAAUACAAUUGUACUUGCAAGUAGUAUCACACUCAAAUACACUGUGGGCUCUAUUUGCAAAAUAUCUGACAAUGAACAUCAUUCUGAACAAUAUCACAGGAAUAAGAGAUUGAAAAAAUUUACUCCUUCUAGAUUGGUACUUUAAUGUUAAAAUUAUGCAUUUAGCUGUAAAUGCAUGUUUAUCAUACACAUCUAGAAACUCUGUAUUUUUAGGACUUGAUUAAGCAGCCUGAGUUUGCUAGUACUUGUUUCAUUUCUUUGAUGAAACACCUUUUAAAGAAUGUUGAAAGAUGCUAUUUUUCUCCUAACUACUGUAGUAAAACGGAACUGGAAUUUUGUAAUUAGUUAAUUUUAUUUAUUCUGCCAUUAGUUUAAGAAUGAUGCAUAUUACCUCUCCCAAGCAGUACAACUCCAGUCAAAGAUUAAAUAAAAUGAGAAGCAUCCACCUCAAAAUGCAGCAGAAAAAGCAGAGAACAGAUUGUCUGUGUCCCAAUUUAAUUAUUGCUAAGACUUUAAAAUCAAUUCCUAACUCAGAAUAUUCAUGUCAGCAUAUCAAAAUUCAGAUAAUUAGACAGUCCCAGAGAGGAGAUAUGUGGUUUGGUUUUUCUGGGGUGCAGUAGCAGUCAGAGAAAGAAAGUUUUGAAAAACUGAUUAUUAUUCUUUUCCCAAAAUACGAGAGAGAACAUCUGAA